Molecule: ribosomal RNA, 1602 nt
Filed under: uncultured Pseudomonadota bacterium
Lineage: Bacteria; Pseudomonadati; Pseudomonadota
Description: uncultured proteobacterium partial 16S ribosomal RNA
Rfam family: Bacterial small subunit ribosomal RNA
Source: RNAcentral
UAGAGUUUGAUCAUGGCUCAGAAUGAACGCUGGCGGCGUGCUUAACACAUGCAAGUCGAACGAGAAAUCCGGCACUCAGGCAACUGAGUGCCGGAGAGUAAAGUGGCGAACGGGUGAGUAACGCGUGGGUAAUCUGCCCUUGAAUCCGGAAUAACUCCGCGAAAGCGGGAUUAAUACCGGGUAAUGUUCCGAAGGCGACGGUCUUUGGAAUGAAAGGUGACCUCUUCAUGAAAGUUGCCGUUCAGGGACGAGCCCGCGUACCAUUAGCUUGUUGGUGGGGUAAUGGCCUACCAAGGCGACGAUGGUUAGCUGGUCUGAGAGGAUGAUCAGCCACACUGGGACUGAGAUACGGCCCAGACUUCUACGGAAGGCAGCAGUAAGGAAUAUUGCACAAUGGGCGAAAGCCUGAUGCAGCCACGCCGCGUGUGGGAUGAAGCCCUUGCGGGUGUAAACCACUGUUAGUUGGGACGAGUGCCACUGUUUUGCAGUGGUUCGACGGUACCUUCAGAGAAAGCUCCGGCUAACUCCGUGCCAGCAGCCGCGGUAAUACUGAGGGUGCAAGCGUUAAUCGGAAUUACUGGGCGUAAAGCGCGCGUAGGUGGUUAGAUCAGUUGGGUGUGAAAGCCCCGGGCUCAACCUGGGAACUGCACUCAAUACUGUCUAGCUAGAGUAUGGUAGAGGGAAGCGGAAUUCCGCAUGUAGCGGUGAAAUGCGUAGAGAUGCGGAGGAACACCAGUGGCGAAGGCGACUUCCUGGACCAAUACUGACACUGAGGUGCGAAAGCGUGGGGAGCAAACAGGAUUAGAUACCCUGGUAGUCCACGCCGUAAACGAUGACAACUAGCUGUUGGUGUUGUGAUGACAUUAGUAGCGAAGCUAACGCGUUAAGUUGUCCGCCUGGGGAGUACGACCGCAAGGUUAAAACUCAAAUGAAUUGACGGGGACCCGCACAAGUAGUGGAGCAUGUGGUUUAAUUCGAAGAUACGCGCAGAACCUUACCAACACUUGACAUGUUCGUCGCGACUCUAAGAGAUUAGAGUUUUCGGUUCGGCCGGACGAAACACAGGUGCUGCAUGGCUGUCGUCAGCUCGUGUCGUGAGAUGUUGGGUUAAGUCCCGCAACGAGCGCAACCCUUGUCUUUAGUUGCCAGUAUUAAGUUAGGCACUCUAAAGAGACUGCCUCGGUUAACGAGGAGGAAGGUGGGGAUGACGUCAAGUCCUCAUGGCCUUUAUGCCCAGGGCUACACACGUGCUACAAUGGACGGCACAAAGGGUCGCUAAUCCGCGAGGAGGAGCUAAUCCCAAAAAGCCGUUCACAGUUCGGAUCGAAGUCUGCAACUCGACUUCGUGAAGGUGGAAUCGCUAGUAAUCGUGGAUCAGCAUGCCACGGUGAAUGCGUUCCCGGGCCUUGUACACACCGCCCGUCACACCACGAAAGUCGACUGUACCAGAAGUUACUGGGCUAACCCGGCACUCAACUCUGGAUUCAAGAUCGUAUCUUAGAAAGUGUAAUUAUAUGAUGUGUUUUUUGAAUUUGGGGUUGAGUGCCGGGAGGCAGGUGCCUAAGGUACGGCCGGUAAUUGGGGUGAAGUCGUAACAAGGUA